Molecule: ribosomal RNA, 298 nt
Filed under: uncultured Planctomycetota bacterium
Lineage: Bacteria; Pseudomonadati; Planctomycetota
Description: uncultured planctomycete partial 16S ribosomal RNA
Rfam family: Bacterial small subunit ribosomal RNA
Source: RNAcentral
AAUGAACGUUGGCGGCGUGGAUUAGGCAUGCAAGUCGUACGGGCCAGCAAUGGCCAGUGGCGAACGGGAGAGGAAUACGCAGGUAUCUGCCUCCGGGUCGGGGAUAGCCACGGGAAACUGUGGGUAAUACCCGAUAACGUCUCCGGACCAAAGGUGUAAUUCCACCUGGAGAGGAGCCUGCGUCCUAUUAGCUUGUUGGCGAGGUAAUGGCUCACCAAGGCUACGAUGGGUACGGGGUGUGAGAGCAUGCCCCCGCUCACUGGGACUGAGACACUGCCCAGACACCUACGGGUGGCUG